Molecule: non-coding RNA, 50 nt
Filed under: Trichobilharzia regenti
Lineage: Eukaryota; Metazoa; Platyhelminthes; Trematoda; Strigeidida; Schistosomatidae
Source: RNAcentral
GUACUGAUGAAGAGUCCAAAACCAGGACGAAACAAACAGCUGUCCAGUAC